This 429-nucleotide ribosomal RNA is filed under the name Verrucomicrobiota bacterium. Its description in RNAcentral is "Verrucomicrobia bacterium partial 16S ribosomal RNA". It matches the Rfam family "Bacterial small subunit ribosomal RNA", at positions 355 to 776 of the family's 1533-position model. Lineage: Bacteria; Pseudomonadati; Verrucomicrobiota. The record is from RNAcentral.
UAGGGAAUCUUCGGCAAUGGGGGGAACCCUGACCGAGCAACGCCGCGUGAGUGAAGAAGGUUUUCGGAUCGUAAAGCUCUGUUGUUACGGAAGAACGAGUGUGAGAAUGGAAAGUUCAUGCUGUGACGGUACUUAACCAGAAAGGGACGGCUAACUACGUGCCAGCAGCCGCGGUAAUACGUAGGUCCCGAGCGUUGUCCGGAUUUAUUGGGCGUAAAGCGCGCGCAGGCGGUUAGAAAAGUCUGAAGUGAAAGGCAGUGGCUCAACCAUUGUAGGCUUUGGAAACUGUUUAACUUGAGUACAGAAGGGGAGAGUGGAAUUCCAUGUGUAGCAGUGAAAUGCGUAGAUAUAUGGAGGAACACCGGUGGCGAAAGCGACUCUCUGGUCUGUAACUGACGCUGAGGCUCGAAAGCGUGGGGAGCGAACAGG